RNAcentral lists this ribosomal RNA (490 nucleotides) under uncultured bacterium. Its description in RNAcentral is "partial 16S ribosomal RNA". It matches the Rfam family "Bacterial small subunit ribosomal RNA", at positions 30 to 507 of the family's 1533-position model. The record is from RNAcentral.
AUUGAACGCUGGCGGCAGGCCUAACACAUGCAAGUCGAACGGUAACAGGAAGAAGCUUGCUUCUUUGCUGACGAGUGGCGGACGGGUGAGUAAUGUCUGGGAAACUGCCUGAUGGAGGGGGAUAACUACUGGAAACGGUAGCUAAUACCGCAUAACGUCGCAAGACCAAAAAGGGGGACCUUCGGGCCUCUUGCCAUCGGAUGUGCCCAGAUGGGAUUAGCUAGUAGGUGGGGUAUCGGCUCACCUAGGCGACGAUCCCUAGCUGGUCUGAGAGGAUGACCAGCCACACUGGAACUGAGACACGGUCCAGACUCCUACGGUAGGCAGCAGUGGGGAAUAUUGCACAAUGGGCGCAAACCUGAUGCAGCCAUGCCGCGUGUAUGAAGAAGGCCUUCGGGUUGUAAAGUACUUUCAGCGGGGAGGAAGGGAGUAAAGUUAAUACCUUUGCUCAUUGAUGUUACCCGCAGAAGAAGCACCGGCUAACUCCGUG